CACGUAGGGUGGUGGUAUUACCACCGGAGGAUUGGGGACAAAAGGUGGAGAAACAAUAGGUGGUGUUGGAAUGAUUGGAGGUGACACAAUAGGUGGUGUUGGUGUGAUUGGUGGAUAAACAAUAGGGGGUGAAACAAUAGGUGGUGUUGGUGAUGGUGGUUUUGGAGUGAUUGGUGGAUGGACAAUAGGUGGUGUUGGAGUGAUUGGUGGAUAAACAAUAGGGGGUGAAACAAUAGGGGGUGUUGGUGAUGGUGGUUUUGGAGUGACUGGUGGAUGGACAAUAGGUGGUGUUGGAGUGAUUGGUGGAUAAACAAUAGGGGGUGAAACAAUAGGUGGUGUUGGUGAUGGUGGUUUUGGAGUGAAUGGUGGUGUUGUUGGUGGUUUAGGGGUGGAAGGUGGAGAGACAAUGGGAGGAGGAUGCACUAUAGGAGGUCUUGGUACAUGUGGAGGUUUUACAAUUGGUGGCUUAGGGCCAUGAUGAGAUGGAGGAGGGCAUGGUUUUUGUGGGGGGUGUUUAGGGGUAGAAGGUGGUUUAACAUGUGGAGGGUAUUUAGGGUGUUUAGGGGUAGUAGGUGGUUUCACAUAUGGUGGUUGUUUAGGGUGUUUAGGGGUAGAAGGUGGUUUUACAUGUGGAGGAUCUUUAGGGUGUUUAGGGGUAGAAGGUGGCUUUACAUGUGGAGGUUGUGUAGAAGGUGGUUUUACCUUAGGAGGCAAUUUUGGGUGUUUUGGGGUGGAAGGAGGAUAUGGACAAUAAGGACAUGCAUGGGCAAUGAACAAAGUUCCAAGUUGAAGAAGCAACAAUAAGACUCUAGCAACAUUAAACUUCUCCAUUGGUAAGGAGAGAGGGAAUAACUCUUGCCAAAUGCUACCAAUAGAAUGGUACACUAUGGCA
RNAcentral lists this long non-coding RNA (892 nucleotides) under Solanum tuberosum (potato). Its description in RNAcentral is "long non-coding RNA (STUB_LNC007506)". The record is from RNAcentral. Lineage: Eukaryota; Viridiplantae; Streptophyta; Magnoliopsida; Solanales; Solanaceae.